UCCGGCUUAUCACCGGCGGUUCCUUUAGAGUGCCCAACUUAAUGAUGGCAACUAAAGGCGAGGGUUGCGCUCGUUGCGGGACUUAACCCAACAUCUCACGACACGAGCUGACGACAGCCAUGCAGCACCUGUCUCAAUGUUCCCGAAGGCACCAAUCCAUCUCUGGAAAGUUCAUUGGAUGUCAAGGCCUGGUAAGGUUCUUCGCGUUGCUUCGAAUUAAACCACAUGCUCCGCUGCUUGUGCGGGUCCCCGUCAAUUCCUUUGAGUUUUAGCCUUGCGGCCGUACUCCCCAGGCGGGGUGCUUAAUGCGUUAGCUGCGGCACGGAGGGAGUCGACACCCCCCACACCUAGCACCCAACGUUUACGGCUGGGACUAC
Molecule: unclassified non-coding RNA, 377 nt
Filed under: uncultured bacterium
Lineage: Bacteria
Description: contains 16S-23S intergenic spacer region
Source: RNAcentral